This 497-nucleotide ribosomal RNA is filed under the name uncultured bacterium. Its description in RNAcentral is "partial 16S ribosomal RNA". It matches the Rfam family "Bacterial small subunit ribosomal RNA", at positions 28 to 507 of the family's 1533-position model. The record is from RNAcentral.
GAUGAACGCUGGCGGCGUGCCUAAUACAUGCAAGUCGAGCGAACAGACGAGGAGCUUGCUCCUCUGACGUUAGCGGCGGACGGGUGAGUAACACGUGGAUAACCUACCUAUAAGACUGGGAUAACUUCGGGAAACCGGAGCUAAUACCGGAUAAUAUAUUGAACCGCAUGGUUCAAUAGUGAAAGACGGUUUUGCUGUCACUUAUAGAUGGAUCCGCGCCGCAUUAGCUAGUUGGUAAGGUAACGGCUUACCAAGGCAACGAUGCGUAGCCGACCUGAGAGGGUGAUCGGCCACACUGGAACUGAGACACGGUCCAGACUCCUACGGGAGGCAGCAGUAGGGAAUCUUCGGCAAUGGACGAAAGUCUGACCGAGCAACGCCACGUGAGUGAAGAAGGUUUUCGGAUCGUAAAACUCUGUUGAUAGAGAAGAACAAGGACGUUAGUAACUGAACGUCCCCUGACGGUAUCUAACCAGAAAGCCACGGCUAACUACGUG